UAGGGAAUCUUCCGCAAUGGGCGAAAGCCUGACGGAGCAACGCCGCGUGAGUGAAGAAGGAUUUCGGUUCGUAAAGCUCUGUUGUUAGGGAAGAAUGAUUGUGUAGUAACUAUACACAGUAGAGACGGUACCUAACCAGAAAGCCACGGCUAACUACGUGCCAGCAGCCGCGGUAAUACGUAGGUGGCAAGCGUUGUCCGGAAUUAUUGGGCGUAAAGCGCGCGCAGGUGGUUUAAUAAGUCUGAUGUGAAAGCCCACGGCUCAACCGUGGAGGGUCAUUGGAAACUGUUAAACUUGAGUGCAGGAGAGAAAAGUGGAAUUCCUAGUGUAGCGGUGAAAUGCGUAGAGAUUAGGAGGAACACCAGUGGCGAAGGCGGCUUUUUGGCCUGUAACUGACACUGAGGCGCGAAAGCGUGGGGAGCAAACAGGAUUAGAUACUCUGGUAGUCCACGCCGUAAACGAUGAGUGCUAAGUGUUGGUCUCAUAAGAGAUCAGUGCUGCAGCUAACGCAUUAAGCACUCCGCCUGGGGAGUACGACCGCAAGGUU
This 547-nucleotide ribosomal RNA is filed under the name uncultured bacterium. Its description in RNAcentral is "bacterial SSU rRNA". It matches the Rfam family "Bacterial small subunit ribosomal RNA", at positions 355 to 895 of the family's 1533-position model. The record is from RNAcentral.